RNAcentral lists this long non-coding RNA (1051 nucleotides) under Ornithorhynchus anatinus (platypus). RNAcentral's name for it is "lncRNA (ENSOANG00000041854.1)". The record is from RNAcentral. Lineage: Eukaryota; Metazoa; Chordata; Mammalia; Monotremata; Ornithorhynchidae.
UCCUCCCGUGCGCCCAUCCUCCCGUCUCCAUCUCCAUCCUCCCGUGCGCCCCUGGAGAGGGGCGGGGAGGGAAGGGGGGGGGGCGGUCCGGCUGCGGGACCCCAUUCCCUCCCCCCACAAGAUGCACGGGAUCUGCCCCUCCCCGGCCCGGGGGUUCCCCCCGACCCCUCCCCGCAUCGAGGCGGGGAGCGCCGUAACGCUUUGGCCCCUUAGGCCCCGGGCUCCGGGGCGGGCGGCUGGGGGGGAGGGCGGCCGUUCCGAUCGGCACACGGUGGUGCCGCCGUCACCUCGUGCUCCUCGGUCACGUCGGCUCUCGGGAAGCGACGGAUGUCCGGAUCUCAAAGGCCCCGCUCAUCGAGCCCAGAGGGGCCGCGUCCGCCGGGGUCGGAGGUGGCCCUCCGGGAGAGAUGCAGCCGGCCCCCCCCGCCCCGGCCGUCCUGCUGCACUGGCCGCCUAAUGCAACGGCGGCAGCGACCUGCACUGAUUGGAUAAAUGCAGCGGCAGCUGCUGCGGGGCCCCGUGCUGGUUGGCUGUGUGCUGCUGCAUCGGCCGCCUGUGCCGAUUGGAUAAAUGCACCGGCAGCAGCGUCCCGGGCAGGUCCGGGGCGCUUCCCCGCUUCCGACUGUGAGCCCCUGGAAGGACCGUGUCUCAUCCUUUCCCAGUGCCCUCCCCCACCGAACCCCGGCCUUCGGUAUUCGUGAGGUCACUACGCGCCAGGCGCUCGACGGAGCGCUGGGGUGGAUAUAGGCUGAUUCGGGUGGUUCCCGUCCACGUCCCGCAUGGGGCUCACAGCCUUCAUCCCCAUUUUUCAGAAGGGGCACAGAGGAGCCAAGCGACUCACCCAAGGUCACGCGGCAGACGAGUGGGGCGGCCGGCACUAGAACCGGAUCCCCGGCCCGGGCUCGUCCCACUAGACCACGCUGCGUCCCAGCCCUUAGUACGGCGUUCCGCGCGCAGUAAGCCCUUAGUUGAUUCUAUCGCUACGACGGUGACUACGACCGCGACUACGAUUACGCUAACCACCUCCACAACUACUAGUACAGGAAGGGAC